Molecule: ribosomal RNA, 454 nt
Filed under: Biffarius delicatulus
Lineage: Eukaryota; Metazoa; Arthropoda; Malacostraca; Decapoda; Callianassidae
Description: partial 16S ribosomal RNA
Rfam family: Bacterial large subunit ribosomal RNA
Source: RNAcentral
GGCCGCGGUAUAAUGACCGUGCGAAGGUAGCAUAAUAAUUAGUCUUUUAAUUGAAGACUGGAAUGAAAGGUUGGACAAAGAGUAAUCUGUCUUAAACAUAAAAAUUGAAGUUAACCUUUAAGUGAAAAGGCUUAAAUAAUCUUAAAAGACGAUAAGACCCUAUAAAACUUUAUAUAAAUAGAUUUGCUUCUUAAUUUAUUAGUUUUAACUAGAAUUAAAUUUAUUUAUAUUUCAUUGGGGCGAUGAAAGUAUAUAAAUAACUGCUUUACGUUUAAUACAAUAAUAUUUGAACCUACUGACCCUUUUUUAAGAUCCAAAGAAAAAGUUACUUUAGGGAUAACAGCGUAAUUUUUUUUAAGAGUUCAUAUCGACAAAAAAGUUUGCGACCUCGAUGUUGAAUUAAAAUAUCCUUAUAGUGCAGCAAUUAUAAAGGUAGGUCUGUUCGACCUUUAAA